This is a small nucleolar RNA of Podarcis muralis (Common wall lizard), 132 nucleotides long. Ensembl annotates it as small nucleolar RNA SNORA27. The record is from Ensembl. Lineage: Eukaryota; Metazoa; Chordata; Lepidosauria; Squamata; Lacertidae.
UUCUCCCCAUUCACUUUGCCAAUUAGACAUUUGUUGUCUCCAUUGGCCAUUCAGGUGGGGCAGAGACAAUAUCCUUUUAAAACCCAACCAGUUAAUACUUAAUUGGCUUGGAUCCUGUCAAAGGAAACAUAC